Molecule: ribosomal RNA, 540 nt
Filed under: uncultured bacterium
Lineage: Bacteria
Description: bacterial SSU rRNA
Rfam family: Bacterial small subunit ribosomal RNA
Source: RNAcentral
UGAGGAAUAUUGCGCAAUGGCCGAAAGGCUGACGCAGCGACGCCGCGUGAAGGAUGAAGUCCGUUAGGACGUAAGCUUCUUUUGCAGGGGAUGAAUGUUCCCGCUUUGGCGGGACUUGACCGUACCCUGCGAAUAAGGAUCGGCUAACUACGUGCCAGCAGCCGCGGUAAUACGUAGGAUCCGAGCGUUGUCCGGAUUUACUGGGUGUAAAGGGCGUGUAGGUGGAUCGGCAAGUCGAUGGUGAAAUCCUGCGGCUCAACCGCAGAAUUGCCUUCGAAACUACCGAUCUUGAGUGCGGCAGAGGGAGACGGAAUUCAUGGUGUAGCGGUGAAAUGUGUAGAUAUCAUGAAGAACACCGGUUGCGAAGGCGGUCUCCUGGUCCGUUACUGACACUGAGGCGCGAAAGCGUGGGGAGCAAACAGGAUUAGAUACCCUGGUAGUCCACGCCCUAAACGAUGGGUACUCGGUGUUGGACCGUAAGGUUCAGUGCCAAAGUUAACGCAUUAAGUACCCCACCUGGGGAGUACGAUCGCAAGGUUG